RNAcentral lists this ribosomal RNA (525 nucleotides) under uncultured bacterium. RNAcentral describes it as "bacterial SSU rRNA". It matches the Rfam family "Bacterial small subunit ribosomal RNA", at positions 355 to 896 of the family's 1533-position model. The record is from RNAcentral.
UGGGGAAUAUUGGACAAUGGAGGCAACUCUGAUCCAGCAAUUCUGUGUGUGUGAAGAAGGUUUUAGGACUGUAAAACACUUUUAGUAGGGAAGAAAAAAAUGACGGUACCUACAGAAGAAGCGACGGCUAAAUACGUGCCAGCAGCCGCGGUAAUACGUAUGUCGCGAGCGUUAUCCGGAAUUAUUGGGCUUAAAGGGCAUCUAGGCGGAUAAUCAAGUUGAAGGUGAAAAGCUGUGGCUCAACCAUAGUCUUGCCUACAAAACUGAUUAUCUAGAGUACUGGAAAGGUGGGUGGAACUACACGAGUAGAGGUGAAAUUCGUAGAUAUGUGUAGGAAUGCCGAUGAUGAAGAUAACUCACUGGACAGAAACUGACGCUGAAGUGCGAAAGCUAGGGGAGCAAACAGGAUUAGAUACCCUGGUAGUCCUAGCUGUAAACGAUGAUCACUGGGUGUGGGGAUUCGAAGUCCCUGUGCCGAAGCAAAAGCGAUAAGUGAUCCGCCUGGGGAGUACGUUCGCAAGAAUG